This 388-nucleotide ribosomal RNA is filed under the name uncultured bacterium. Its description in RNAcentral is "bacterial SSU rRNA". It matches the Rfam family "Bacterial small subunit ribosomal RNA", at positions 355 to 760 of the family's 1533-position model. The record is from RNAcentral.
UCGGGAAUUUUGGGCAAUGGGUGAAAGCCUGACCCAGCAACGCCGCGUGAGGGAUGAAGUAUUUCGGUAUGUAAACCUCGAAAGAAUGGGAAGAAUAAAUGACGGUACCAUUUAUAAGCUCCGGCUAACUACGUGCCAGCAGCCGCGGUAAUACGUAGGGAGCAAGCGUUGUUCGGAUUUACUGGGCGUAAAGGGCGCGUAGGCGGCGCGGUAAGUCACUUGUGAAAUCUCUGAGCUUAACUCAGAACGGCCAAGUGAUACUGCUGUGCUAGAGUGCGGAAGAUGCAUCCGGAAUUCUUGGUGUAGAGGUGAAAUGCGUAGAUAUCGAGAGGAACACCUGAGGCGAAGGCGGGUUGCUGGGCCGACACUGACGCUGAUGCGCGAAAGC